Molecule: long non-coding RNA, 317 nt
Filed under: Cyanistes caeruleus (blue tit)
Lineage: Eukaryota; Metazoa; Chordata; Aves; Passeriformes; Paridae
Description: lncRNA (ENSCCEG00000000421.1)
Source: RNAcentral
GCUUUCUGUGUCCUCAGCGCAGGGAUCGGGCGCACAGGUACCUUCAUCGCCCUGGACUUCCUCCUGAAGAUGGGGAAGGCUGAGGGGAAGGUGGAUGUGUUUCACUGUGUGCAGCAGCUGCGGGAGCAGCGGGUCAGCAUGGUGCAGACCAAGGAGCAGUACAGCUUCCUGUACGAGGCGCUUCUCGAAGGCUUGCUCUGCGGCAGCACCGGGGUCCCACUGGAGAGCAUCGCCACCCUCGUCCACUCCCUUGGAGAAGCUGAGACCUCAGGCCACAACAGUGUCCUAGAGAAGGAGUUCAAGGCCCUGCAGAGAUU